This 18569-nucleotide long non-coding RNA is filed under the name Citrus sinensis (sweet orange). RNAcentral's name for it is "long non-coding RNA (CSIN_LNC000466)". The record is from RNAcentral. Lineage: Eukaryota; Viridiplantae; Streptophyta; Magnoliopsida; Sapindales; Rutaceae.
AUUUGAACUUCAUGGAAUUUUUAACUUUCCCUCAACCUAUCCAGAGUCUUGGAGAUUAAUUGUGUGUGCAUAUGGUGUUUGACAGCAAUUAUUCUGAAAAUUGCAGUAGGUGUUAUUUCAAUAGAGCUUCUUUGCAUCUGCAGCCACCUGGGAGGAGCUGUAGGUAUCUUGAUAUCUUCCUCGAGUUCCUCAUGGAAGUUUGGCAUAAUAGUGCUAUCGGGGUCCGCAUAGAUGUUUCGCCUGCCUAAUCCAGGGGUUGUGCGUAAAUAGUGUUUGAUUAUUUAAAACCAUGUGUUGUGCGUAAAUAAUUUGUUGUUAAUUGGUGUAUUCACCAAGAUUUGGCUGUAUCUGCGUACUGUACAUCAGAAUUCUCACUAAUGGAAGCUUAAGUGCUUAACCAAUUUGUACCUGGACUGGGGCUUGAUAUGAUGAAUUAUGUAUGACCCCCAUCCUCUAUAUUUGCUGAAGUGGGUCUCAGCUAUAACCAACCUUAACCCACCGGGCUGACUCUGUGGGUCUACUCUAAAGUUGGCGACGCAGCUACUAGCCUCAGUUUUAAUGCGAAUUUGCCUAUUUGCCAUGGUUGGUUCUUCGCUGGGUAGGUAGGCCAGUUGAUUGGAAUUUUCCUCACGUGACAAAAGCAUGGAACGUUGGUUGAAACUUACCACCAAAACGUUCAAAAACUUUGUUUUCAUAUCACGUCAUUGGAGACCCCUUCGGCUUAACUGUACCUAAAUCCAUCCAUGUCCUUAUCUAUUCAUCAAUAAUGUUCAUACUGGCCGUGACUUGCAAUCUUUUUUAAUGUGAUUAACAAUUUUUUAAAUACUUUAAUAGUAAUCCCACAGAAAUGUAAAGUGAAUAAAAGAAGCAUCCGAACAGCUGCAGCAGCAAUCAGCGAUCGAGUUAGCGCCACAGCACACUUUUUUUCUAACUUCAUCUGGUUUUCCCGGCAAAACAAGCAACUGCUUUACUGCUGCGCCACCAGAUCCCAACACUAAAUAAGGCUCUAUAUAUACAAGCCCAUAAGUUCUUCUUCAUGGAUUCUACUGGAAAAAGGUCACUCACUCACUCACUUCUCUCUAAUUUUAAUUUCGUUCACGUUAAUAUAUUAAUAUCGGAACAUACCUUCAGCCUUCAGGGAUAUUCAAAUAUAACUUUGUAAGUUUGAUAUGGGUGUUUCCCGCAAUUGGGUCACGUUUUUGCGUGGAUUGUUUCUCCUCCUCCUUAUCUGUCGUAGCUCUGGAGCUGAAGUUAUUACAGUUGAUGUUCGAGCUGCUAAGAAUCUGCUUGAAUCUGGCUACGGCUAUCUUGAUGUGAGGUACGCAGUUUCAAUUCAACUACUGGCUUUCUAUUUCCUAAUUCUGAUACUUGUAAUUUCUUUUAUUUUUUAAUCUUUAUUUCGUAACUUUGGGCUUGUCUUAAAAUACUAGGACGGCAGAAGAAUUCGAGGAAGGUCAUGUGGAUGCAGCAAAAAUCUUCAACAUUCCUUACAUGUUCAACACUCCAGAAGGUAUAUAACGAUUAUUUUAUUUUAUUUUUUUUAAAAUUCAACUUCUAAUAACCAUGAGCCAUUUCCUUUUUAAUACUUCAGUUAUGAAAAAAUAAUUUGGUUUUUCCUUAUAGGUAGAGUAAAAAAUCCAGAUUUCUUGAAGAAGGUUAGAUCUCUUUGCAAGGAGGAGGAUCGUCUUGUAGUGGUAAUUAAUUGAUCAUGUUCAUAAAUCAGUUGUCGAAAAAUUGGUGUUUGACAGCAAUUAUUCUGAAAAUUGCAGUAGGUGUUAUUUCAAUAGAGCUUCUUUGCAUCUGCAGCCACCUGGGAGGAGCUGUAGGUAUCUUGAUAUCUUCCUCGAGUUCCUCAUGGAAGUUUGGCAUAAUAGUGCUAUCGGGGUCCGCAUAGAUGUUUCGCCUGCCUAAUCCAGGGGUUGUGCGUAAAUAGUGUUUGAUUAUUUAAAACCAUGUGUUGUGCGUAAAUAAUUUGUUGUUAAUUGGUGUAUUCACCAAGAUUUGGCUGUAUCUGCGUACUGUACAUCAGAAUUCUCACUAAUGGAAGCUUAAGUGCUUAACCAAUUUGUACCUGGACUGGGGCUUGAUAUGAUGAAUUAUGUAUGACCCCCAUCCUCUAUAUUUGCUGAAGUGGGUCUCAGCUAUAACCAACCUUAACCCACCGGGCUGACUCUGUGGGUCUACUCUAAAGUUGGCGACGCAGCUACUAGCCUCAGUUUUAAUGCGAAUUUGCCUAUUUGCCAUGGUUGGUUCUUCGCUGGGUAGGUAGGCCAGUUGAUUGGAAUUUUCCUCACGUGACAAAAGCAUGGAACGUUGGUUGAAACUUACCACCAAAACGUUCAAAAACUUUGUUUUCAUAUCACGUCAUUGGAGACCCCUUCGGCUUAACUGUACCUAAAUCCAUCCAUGUCCUUAUCUAUUCAUCAAUAAUGUUCAUACUGGCCGUGACUUGCAAUCUUUUUUAAUGUGAUUAACAAUUUUUUAAAUACUUUAAUAGUAAUCCCACAGAAAUGUAAAGUGAAUAAAAGAAGCAUCCGAACAGCUGCAGCAGCAAUCAGCGAUCGAGUUAGCGCCACAGCACACUUUUUUUCUAACUUCAUCUGGUUUUCCCGGCAAAACAAGCAACUGCUUUACUGCUGCGCCACCAGAUCCCAACACUAAAUAAGGCUCUAUAUAUACAAGCCCAUAAGUUCUUCUUCAUGGAUUCUACUGGAAAAAGGUCACUCACUCACUCACUUCUCUCUAAUUUUAAUUUCGUUCACGUUAAUAUAUUAAUAUCGGAACAUACCUUCAGCCUUCAGGGAUAUUCAAAUAUAACUUUGUAAGUUUGAUAUGGGUGUUUCCCGCAAUUGGGUCACGUUUUUGCGUGGAUUGUUUCUCCUCCUCCUUAUCUGUCGUAGCUCUGGAGCUGAAGUUAUUACAGUUGAUGUUCGAGCUGCUAAGAAUCUGCUUGAAUCUGGCUACGGCUAUCUUGAUGUGAGGUACGCAGUUUCAAUUCAACUACUGGCUUUCUAUUUCCUAAUUCUGAUACUUGUAAUUUCUUUUAUUUUUUAAUCUUUAUUUCGUAACUUUGGGCUUGUCUUAAAAUACUAGGACGGCAGAAGAAUUCGAGGAAGGUCAUGUGGAUGCAGCAAAAAUCUUCAACAUUCCUUACAUGUUCAACACUCCAGAAGGUAUAUAACGAUUAUUUUAUUUUAUUUUUUUUAAAAUUCAACUUCUAAUAACCAUGAGCCAUUUCCUUUUUAAUACUUCAGUUAUGAAAAAAUAAUUUGGUUUUUCCUUAUAGGUAGAGUAAAAAAUCCAGAUUUCUUGAAGAAGGUUAGAUCUCUUUGCAAGGAGGAGGAUCGUCUUGUAGUGGUAAUUAAUUGAUCAUGUUCAUAAAUCAGUUGUCGAAAAAUUAAUUUUUGUCUUAACACACACACACACACACACACACACACAUACAUAUAUCAUCCAGUUUUGAUUUGGUGUUAGUAAUUAAUCUGUACAGGGCUGUCAAAGCGGAGCUAGAUCUCUUCAUGCAACGGCUGAUCUUCUUGGCGCUGUAAGUUUUCGUCUUCGCUUUCAAUUUUCACUCGCUAAGGAAGCUACUAAUUAGCUGAAAUUAGAGUAAAGAUGAGGGAGCGAGGAAAUUUAACGGUCUCUGUACAAUUGACAAAAUGAUCGCUGCAGGGCUUUAAGCAUGUUAGCAACUUUGGAGGUGGGCAUAUGGCUUGGGUUCAGAACGGAUUAAAGGUGAAGGCGCAUGAAAAGCCAGCAGAUCAUCGAUCUGACCUCUGAUUAAUCAUGACUUGCCAUUAUUAUCACCAUGUAUUACGCACACUAGUAAUGCCCAGAAAACGAACUUGUGGUGGCGCCGUCGUAUUUAGUAAUUUGUACAAUAUUUUUAUUUUUGUUCGUUUGUUGCAGAAAAUGAUGGGAAUUUGAUUAAAGUUAUGCUAUUUGUUUUUCUUUUUAAUAUAUAUGCACAUUUAUGGAUAUGGCUGGUGAGCUAAAAUUGUAGUCACACAGAUUAAAAAGUGAAAAUGGUCCGUCGAUUGAAUAUUUCUCGUUCACUGCAUGGAAAGAUACCCCAUAAAGUCUUUAUUAUAUUAAUAAUUUUAAUUAAAAUACAGUCCAACAACUUUGGUAAUGCCGCAAAAUGGCAUGCGUCUGAGUGGAUUCAUAAAUCACAAUUUCUUUUUUCACGAGACAAAAAUUAGAAGACAGAAACACGUUGUUGACUGUCCCAAAACGUGAAAUCAGCAAAAGUCCUAACUGGCGAAGAUCUUGUUUACCGGGCCCAUUGUGCUCAACUGCUUUGGAAGUUAUGUGUUGUAACAACUCAUGCGUGUCCUCGUGAAUUAGCGCAACAAAAGCCCACCAUCACAAUGACUGCCAUUAAUGGCCUGAAAUACUUUGUUCAUAAAUCAGACUCAGUCAAAAGAAAAAGAGUUAUUUUAUUUUAUUGGGUAUGCGUUUUUAAGGUCCCUGGUUGGUUGUAGACAUUGAAUGUUAUGCUUAUGCCCAGCAGCUCAAGUUCUCACUGUCUUUUGGUGGAGAAAUGAAGAAAGAAACAGUAAGAGAAGGAGCUUCAUUAGCUGACACCCCUACUUGGGCUGUUGCUACUGUCAUCACUGUUAUGAUCAUUUUUGGGUUCUUUGUUCAUACUUGUUUGAAACAUUUUGGCAAGGUAAAACUGACAGUUUUUUUCUUCUAAUUUCUUUAACUGUUUCCUUCAUUACAUGCUGUCUUUAUUUGAUGGAAUGCGAAUGUUUGUUUCGAUAGUGGUUGGAAAAGACUAAGAGAAAAUCUUUGCUUGCUGCUCUUGAGAAGAUCAAAGAUGGUAAGAGAAUUUAAUCUUUAGCUAUGGAUUUGUUCAAUCAAUAUAUUGACGCAUACGUAAUUGUGAUGUUCACUUCUGAUCCCAUGAAAUGUUGGUUAUUUAAAUAUAUGCAGAGAUGAUGCUCUUUGGUGUUUUGUCUUUGUUGAUGGGGCAUUGGAUUGUAUUUGUGGCCAAAAUUUGUGUCAAAUCAUCAGCCCUGAGCAGCAGAUUCUAUCCAUGUGCGUCCAAGGCUGACUUCACAUCAGUAGCUCACACUCUUGUUUCAAGAUCAAAUUUUUUGAAUUCCUCACUUGAUAGAGAGCAAGUGCAAACCAGGCACGGGUCGAGCUAUUACUGUCCUGAGGUAUCCGUUCAUGACAGUGAAGUUCAUAUUACUACUGUAACCUUCAAUGCUUUCCCAGUUAAAUGUAUUAAGUGAUGCCAGUCAUUAUUCAUUUUUCUAAACCCUUUUGCUGUUUACUAUAUCUAUACGGACUUUCUUGAAAUAUUUAUUUUUUUGCAGGGCCAAGAAUCUUUUGCUUCACAUGAAAGUCUUGAGCAGCUUCAUCGUUUUAUAUUCGUCCUCGGUGUUACGCAUGUUUCUUACAGCUUUGUUGCCAUUGCCUUGGCCAUGAUUAAGGUCGGAGCACUUCUGUAUUGUCAAUGUGCUUUUUAGAGCUUAAUAUUUUCCAAGAUGUCUCAUCGUUUUAUAUUUGCAGAUCUAUAGCUGGAGAACAUGGGAAAACCAAGCUAUAACCAUGGCUAUUCAGAUUGAACAAGGUGCAAAUUUUUCAAGCCAAUUAAUGAAGGUUUUGUCUGUGUAUUUUUAGCUAUUUUGUCCUGUCUGUUGCUUUUUGUCAUGCUAGAUGCUCUCAAAGGACAAGUUUUCCUUUUUGCAAUAAUAUCUUAAAUCUAGAGUCUUCGGAAGCUGCAUCAAGCAACAGGAAGAUGAAGCGACUAUCCACCUUUAUCUUUCACCGCACAUCCCAUCCAUGGAGCCAGCACAAAGUUCUGGUUUGGCUGGUAUUCUUACAUGCUCGAAAUCAUAUACUUUUUAUCUGGUUCAUGAGCUAUGUGGUGAUAUUUCUUAUUAUCAUGCUUGAGAAACAGUUUCUUAAGCAUUAAUUUAAUUAAUUUACCCGAACUAGAUAAAUCUUGCUGAACCAAUAUUUGUUAGACAAACCUAGUUGCUCAAAUCAGCCAUUGGCUGAAUAUAAUUGAAUUUCAAAAAAGACAAAUUGCUCAAAAGUUGCUUGGGUUAUAUCUUAUAAGAAAUGCAUACUAUAUAAGUUGUUAAAUUCCUGGUCAGUUACAGCAAAUAAAAUUCUUUUUUCUGCUGUGUAAUUAGUGUUGGACUUAGGUUAGGGGCAAGAUACAAUUCAACGAUCAGCAUCAAUAUUCUUCUCAGUUUUGGAUUCUUUCCUCAUCUGGAAGUUAUUUUUAUUCUUGUGUCAGGUUAGAGGAAAUUAUUAUUUGAGCGUCAAUCAACUAGGGGCUGGAGCACGCUGGCGGCGAACAACUGGCCAAGAAGUUUAUUCACCGCUUCUCUUGGCUUUCACACAAGAAGUAUGACUAGAUUGUAGCCACUUUGUUAUGAACUUGUUACAGAUCUUAAACUGACUCAAGAAUUUAAUUAUUCAGAAGUUAGAGACUUGGACAGAAUCUCAUCUGACAAAAUCAACUGCCAUGGAAUCAGACUACAGCCUGCCUCUCAAUGUUGCUUUAAUUACUCUUGAGGUAACAGCAUCUUUACUCACUGUAGAAUGAAUUGAUAAAAUUUAUCUGUAUCUCAAUGAAUUGAUAAAAUUUAUCUGUAUCUCAAUCUAAUUACUUCUUGCAGGAGUUGGAUGAUGGAAGUGUUCUUCUGCGACUGGCACAUCUGUACGAGGUAAAGAAAAUACACCUGGUGCUCCUCUUCAUGUUCCCACUAAAAUUCACCAAAUGAGACUUUUAUUAGAUGUAUUACAACUAAAACUCAGUAGAGCGAUAUAGACAAAUGCACCAGGCGAUGAAUAUAUAUAAAAGUGUGAAACUAUGAAGUCGUACAAAUAAAGAUUCGCAUUGUCUGCUGUACGGCCAAGGCGGAUGUACGGUACAGCAGAUCCCAUCCAUGGAGCCAGCACAAAGUUCUGGUUUGGCUGGUAUUCUUACAUGCUCGAAAUCAUAUACUUUUUAUCUGGUUCAUGAGCUAUGUGGUGAUAUUUCUUAUUAUCAUGCUUGAGAAACAGUUUCUUAAGCAUUAAUUUAAUUAAUUUACCCGAACUAGAUAAAUCUUGCUGAACCAAUAUUUGUUAGACAAACCUAGUUGCUCAAAUCAGCCAUUGGCUGAAUAUAAUUGAAUUUCAAAAAAGACAAAUUGCUCAAAAGUUGCUUGGGUUAUAUCUUAUAGUAGAGUUACCCCAUAAUGUAUAGAUGGAAAAAAAAAAAAAUUAUUUACGCGUGUACUUGGUGCAUAUGUGUGUUUGUGAAGAAGGGGGCUAAUGGAUAUAAAGACCAGAGGAGGACUCAGAAGUUCUAUUCAAAUUAGACGUUAAGGACCUUUGUGAUGUCUUUGUUGGGGCAUUACUGAAGUUGUUGAUGUUCAAGUUAAAAGUCUGUUCUCAAAUGACUUGAUUAAAUGAUCAGUCUUUCAUUUUACAUCAUUUUUUUGAACUGUUAAAUACAAUGUUUGGUAGUUCAGGAUAUUGAUCAUGCAUUGAGUGGAAAAAUAUAUGUUUCAUUGGGAAAACCUAUAACAUCAGAGCACUAAAUCCCCGUCACCUGAUGACCUGAAUGUAUGGGGCAUUAAAUCCUUAAAUCCCAUAGAUACCAAAACUAUAAGCAGGGCUUGAUUCUUGCAACCACUAAUUUCAGUUGUAGUCCUUCACUGUUAUUCUAUUCUGUUAGUUGCAUGACUAUGGGCCAACGACUCCAAUUGUAAAUUUGCAGCUUUGCUUCAGUCGGCAAUUUUGGAGUUCUAUAAAUCGAGCUGAUUACAUGGCUCUGCGCUUGGGCUUCAUCACUGUAAGUUUUAUCAGGUUUUAGUGAGGGUAUUGCUGUUGAACCAUGUAGAUGACAUGAGGAAAUUUUUGAAUUUUGAAGAGUGAAUAGUCUGCUUGCCUUCAUUUGCUUCAUUUGUUUUUGUUUUUCCUUCGUCUUCAGUCGUCGUCUUGCAAAUAAAUAUGUCUGAGAAGACAAGUAAUUUGAAUAGCUAAUAACUGUCUCGCUCCUGUCUUUUAUAUUUGUGUUCCUGGAUUUGUAGACUCAUCAGCUUCCUUUGACAUAUGAUUUCCAUAAGUAUAUGCAUCGAAGCAUGGAGGAAGAAUUCCGUGAUAUUGUUGGCAUUAGGUAAUACUUAUUACUCUGCUUUGCAUGCCUGUUCUCUUUUCUUCCUUCUUUUUCUAAAUUCAUUCUCUCUAGUUUGGUAUUUUUUUUUUUAAUUAAAUCAAUUUGAUUGAUUUCUGAGGCUUCUUUUGCAGUAUACCACUCUGGAUUUAUGCCAUUGGUUGCACUCUUCUGAAUUUCCACGGUAGUUUUCCGUGUUUUGAAAAGCUAAUAACUGAUGAGCAAACCCCGUUCACUGUGAAUUGCAUGUCAUUAUUUUCUAGUGUCAUAUCUGUGGGAAGUAGGCCACUUGAAUGAAUUUUCAUUUGAAAUAUAUGGUCGUCCAAAAGAAAUUUAGUAAUGUUCAACAAAGCUUUUGGAUGUCCUCAAGAACAGAACAGAAAAAUUAUACGUCGUUUUGCAGUAUCAGUUUCUCAUUCAAUCAAAUAGUACAAUUGCAAAAUUUUGCUUGUAAGCGUUUGCAUUGUCCGACUAAAUCAUGUAAUGGCUCAAUUCUCAUAGCUGCAAUUUAGAGAGUAGCAUGUAAGCAUAUACAUUGAUUCAGUUUUCUUAAGAUAUCUUUGCAUCUUUUUGGCACGGAAUUAAUUUGUGAGGUUUUCCCCCUUUAUUCCUAAACUAAUUUUAGAGUUUGGAUUCUGUGAUUUUCAUGUAGGAACUAAUACUUACCUUUGGCUUUCAUUCAUUCCAGCCAUUGUAAGUCAUCAUCAUUUCUUCUCUUUUAGCUUUUCCAAAAUGUUAAUACCACUCAACUUUGCUAAUCUCCCUUGCUCUCUAUCUCUUCCUCUGCUGCAUUUUCUUAUUGUGUUUUAUGCACAUUGAAGUUAAUACUGCUGAUUGGUACAAAAUUACACCGGGUGGUGGUAAAGUUAGCUGUUGAAAUCAUGGAUAAAUGUCCAUGGGAUGGAUAUCACCAGUUUAAUCUGAGGGAUGAUCUCUUCUGGUUUGGCAAGCCCAGGCUUCUUUUGCAUUUGAUACAACUAAUAUCAUUCCAGGUGAGUUAGGCCCCUCUUUAUUGCCUUGAUAUUUUAGUUAUGAGUUUGCCCGGUUUUCAGAAAGAUUAAUUUUUUCUAUGGAUAUGUGCUUGAUUUUGCAGAAUGCAUUAGAAAUGGCAACAUUCCUUUGGUCCCUGGUAAGGUCUUGGCUGAUUUGCUCAUUGUAAAAUGCCAAUCGUUCCAAAAGUAGAUGCUUAUUUAUUUGUUUGAGCUCUCUAUAACUUUCUUUAUCCUUUGAGGAUAUUAUUUUGUUGGACAUUCUAGGAGAAACACAUAAUUAUAACGAACUAGAUUUCUCCAUCGCUAAAACUAAUGCAUCUAGCAAUGCUUUCAUGAAGAUGAUGGUGAUUCUGAUUUUUGUUUCCAGUGGGAAAUCAAGGAACCUUCUUGUUUCAUGGAAAAUCGUAGCUUUAUUGUUAUCCGCUUGACAUUUGGGUACAUCGUUCUUCCACCUUUUCAAUGUUUACGAGCCAAAUAUUUUGUGGCUUUACCAAGUGAUGUUAAUUUGUUGCUCAAUUGUAUAUGCAGAACUGUGACACAGUGCUGGUGUAGCUUCAUCACAUUUCCACUCUAUGUUAUCAUUACACAGGUAUAUUAAUAUAUUAUAUAUCUAAAUACUAAAUAGCUUUGCUUUUUCAACCCAGAACGCAUAUAUGUGUCUUAUCUCUAUAUGGCUCUCGAUCGAUUGCAUUUUGUUUGUGGCUUUCGUUGUUGCAGAUGGGAUCAAGGUUCAAGAGAUCUGUAGUUUCUGAAAAUGUAAGAGUAUCACUAGGAAAUUGGAAAAAAAGAGUGCGGGCAAAGCAAAGUGCAUCCGUUGGACUCGUUAGUGCAGCAUCCAACUCAUCCUCAGAUUCUUUGGUUGAUAACAUGAACAAAAUGGAUGAUUUCACAUCAGGUGCAGGCAGCAUCAGCAUGGAAGGAAGCUGCUCAAUAGUUAAAGAUCCAUCGAUCCUGAACCAAGACACCUCCGCCCCGGAGCAUUCACUUCACUCCAGCCAUUCAUGUGACACUGACCUUGAUGAUCAUGAUGACCUGAUUGAUGUUGAAUAAGAUGACAUGAUGAUCUUUAGAUGUUCCUUCCUGCAGGGCCAUGGAUAGUGGCAGAAGAAGUUGCAUGUCCACCGGUAGACACUUGAAUCGAUUGGUUGUAUUGUAAUAAGAAAAAGGAUCCAUCGGUUGUUUACUUGGCUUCAACUUUUAGCUCUCGAAUUACUUUUCUUCAUUAAAAUUUUCUAAAUCUAACAUAAUUUUGUAAAAAAGACACAAAAUCGGAAUGAGAAUUUGAGCUCAUACUAUAAUCCGCUGUUAUAAUAUGAUAUAUAGACUGUGUAGAAUUAGAUGUCCAAAAUAUAAGGCCUCUUACGCGAGCCAUUCCUCGUUUAUAAUUUUAUUUCCAACGUGGCAUCAUGUAACUGGCUUAAAAACAAAUUCCCAUUACCCUCUCAAAAUUGAAUUCCUGUACUUGCCCAUUCUAACCAAUAAUGACCUGGCUAAUGAGGCUUUGGCCACGGGUGAAUUUUUACUCUCAGAGUUAAGAAGGAUUAUAAGGGUAGGGGUUCGACUCUUCAUGAAUUUAAAACUCUCUUAAUUAAACAUUAUAUAUGAUUGGGUGAAGUUUAUUUAUAAGUUUUUCUCUCUUGUGAAAUACAAGUGAAGUAAAAUCAUCCCUUCUCUGUGAGGAUUAUUUGUCUGGACAUGUACUUUAUAAAUUUAAUGUAACAAUAUAAAUCUCAAUUAUGUAUAUUUUAUUAAACAUGUAUUUCAUAAAUUUAAUGUAAUAAUAUAAAUCUCAAUUAUGUAUAUCUGAUUGUAAAUAUCAGUAUAAUAUUUAUUGUAAUAACAGUUGUAAAUAUAUUUGUGUAAUAAGUAAUCUAAUAUGUAAUUAGUAUUUUAAAAAAACCAAUAAUGACCUGACACGCAGGACGCGCUAGUUAGUGAAAUAAUCUUGAGCACACGAGAACGCCACGAUACCUGUCCUGCGGCUAAACUUGAAACUUCUUGCUUUUUCCUUUUCUUAUUUGAGAAGCUUAAUAGUUCUUACUUGAGUCUUCUUUAACGACGCUGCUCUCAUUCUUUCCCGAGCAUUGGCAUUUGUUCUGUUUCUGAUCUCAAAGAGUAGAUAGCCAUGGUUCUCGAGGUAAUCAAUAAAAUGUUUAUUUGGGUUUUCUUCUUUCUCUUUCUCGUUUUCAUUUUAAUUUCAAAUUAUUCAUUUUAUUAACCAAUGAAAUCUAUAAAAAAAAAUGUAAAAAUUUUAAAAACUAAAUUCAGGCAACGUUGAUCUGUAUUGAUAAUUCUGAGUGGAUGCGUAACGGCGAUUACGCUCCUAGUAGAUUCCAAGCUCAAACUGAAGCUGCUAAUCUUAUUUGCGGAGCCAAAACUCAGGUUUCUUUAUUUCUUUUUCUUUUUCCUUUUCCUUUUUUCCUUUCUAAAUAAAUUUUUUUUAUCUGUCCUGUAUUUCUUAUUUAAUUAAGAAACUUACAUUAAUUGGUUAUAUGUAUUGUUUCUUUUUCAUGCUCAACUGGGAGUUCAUCUUUUUUUUUUAAUAGUAACUGCUGAUAUGUCUUUUAGGGUUUAUUUGAAAUGAGUUGCUUUGUGUAAACAGUUAAAUCCUGAGAAUACCGUAGGUGUUAUGACAAUGGCAGGGAAAGGGGUUCGUGUUUUGGUCACUCCUACUAGUGAUCUUGGCAAGAUCUUGGCUUGCAUGCACGGUUAGUUAUCUUUCUUGCUUUCACACCUAUUUGUUCAAGAUCAGGGGUAUGCUUGGGGUUGAGGUCCACUGCUGCAGUGGAAAUGAAGGAUGCAAUUAGUAGUUGUCAACAAGGAGUGGUUUUGUUGUGCAUUCAAAGUGCUAAGCAGAAGUGCAUCAGUUACAAACAUCAGUACUUGUAUUGAUUUAUGUUGCUGGAUGCAGGUUUAGAAAUAGGCGGUGAGUUGAAUCUUGCUGCUGGGAUCCAGGUGGCUCAAUUGGCUCUAAAGCAUCGCCAGAACAAAAAGCAGCAACAAAGGAUUAUUGUCUUCGUUGGAAGGUGGGUUUGAAUUCGGUUCUUUAUGCAUUUUAAUUCUAUCAUUUUGUUUUCUAUCUUGUGUUAUGCUUGUGUGUUUGCAGUCCCAUCAAGCAUGAAAAGAAAGUGCUGGAGAUGAUUGGCAGGAAGUUGAAAAAGAAUAGUGUAGCACUUGACAUUGUCAACUUUGGUGAAGACGAUGAGGGGAAUACGGAGAAGCUUGAAGCACUUCUUGCUGCUGUGAACAACAAUGAUAGUAGCCACCUUGUUCACGUUCCUCCUGGUCCAAAUGCCCUUUCUGAUGUGCUUCUUAGGUAAUAUACUCUGCUUUAGUUUUCUUCAUUUCUUUUGAAUUUUAGUGGUUGAGUUUCAUAUGAAAUUCUGAUUUGAGUUAAAAAAUUUCCUCUCUCAUGUCAGUACGCCUAUCUUCACUGGGGAUGGUGAGGGAGGGAGUGGUUUUGCAGCAGCUGCAGCUGCUGCUGCAGCCAGUGGUGCUUCUGGUUAUGAAUUUGGGGUGGACCCCAACCUAGAUCCUGAACUGGCCCUUGCUCUCAGAGUUUCAAUGGAAGAGGAGAGAGCCAGACAAGAAGCAGCAGCUAAGAGAGCAGCAGAGGAAGCGGCUAAAAAGGAAAAACAAGGGGAACAGCAAUCUAGCUCACAGGAUGUAACUAUGACUGAUCAAGACAGUGUUCCAGCUUCUGAAGCUGAUGAUAAGAAGAAGACUACGAAGGUUUGUGCUAUUUAUUGCAUUUCACCUUGGUAUUUGCUUGCUUAAAUUAUUCAUUAUCAACAGAAAUUAUUCAGUAAUUUAACCUUGAAUAUUUGUAACAGCAUGACGAGGGUUUGCUACAGGAGGCCAUUGCGAUGUCAUCAACUCCUAGUUAUCCCUCUGGGCGAGAUACGAAUAUGUCAGAGGUAGCUGAAGAUGAUCCAGAGUUGGCAUUAGGUGAGAGUCCUUGUGCUCAGCAGUUUUGUUUUCUUUGGCUGUUUGGCAUGGUUGUAUGCUUAUAUAUACCGUAUACCUCAUCUCGAUGAUAAGUGCACAAGGUUAAGUAUUAUGCUAUUCUUGGACAACAUACUGGCUGACUGUCAUUUUCACAUUACCUUUCCCCUGCAUUUCUGUCUAAUAGGAAUUCUAUUUGAUUGUGAAGUAUCAUGCUAUUCUUCUGGGUCGAUGGUGUUUUGAUAUUUUCACCUGCUUAUUAAUAGUUUUCCCGUUUAGCAUUCUAUAAUUAAAUAGACACUUGGAAAAAAGUUAAACUAACUUUGGCAUUAAAUGAUUAAUACUCUCCCCAUAUCUGUUGCUUGUAGCUCUUCAAUUAUCCAUGCAAGAUGGCACGAAAGACGCACCAAGCCAUAGUGACAUGAGCCAGUUGUUGGCUGACCAGGCUUUUGUGUCCUCCAUCCUUGCAUCGGUAUGUCUGCUAAAGUUGCAAUAAUUAUUCCCCCCAGCCCGAGUGAGAAACAUAGGUAUCUCAUGACCUGUUCUUUCCCUGCAUGUAAUAAUUAAUACAUUUUUUGUUCCACAGCUUCCAGGGGUUGAUCCAGAAGAUCCUUCUGUUAAAGAUGUGCUUACUUCCAUGCAAAACCAGUCUGAGGUGAGUUCAUCAGACUUGGUAGGAUGAAUAGACAAAUCUCUAUAUACUAAAAAUUUGAUAGUACCGUAUCAGCUAAAAAUUUGGAUAUUGGGUUAGUGUGUCUGUUUAUUUCUGUUUGAGUGUGGAAUUUUCAAUAAAUUUUGGUGUUAGAUUUUUUAUUCUUAUGCAAGGUGAAACUGAUGAAUGUUUUCGAUACCUGGUUGUAUUGUGUAUGCUUGUUAGCCCCAAGAGAAGAAGGAUGAAGACAAGGUGUCAAAAGAGGAGGAGGAGAAGAAAUAAUUCUCUGCAGUUGCUUUUCAAUGUCAGGUUUAGACUACUGAAUUCACCCAGUUCAUGAUCUGUAUCAGCUUCUGGGGUACAAGAUGUUUCAAAUUUGAUAAAUUCAUGUAAAUUUCUUACUUUUUGGGAUCUCCAGGUUACUAAUAUUUGUGAUAACGGUAGUGAUUAUUAGAUGAAGUUUUUAUUAUCGCAAGUCAUUAACCUCUUCAUUGUGGCCAAUGAAUGGUGCAGAUUGUGAUUUUCAUUUGUAUUUGAAAAGGCUUCACAGUAACCACUAGUUUAUUAAUGGCAACUUUCUAAAUUAUGCACCGAAUGAAUCAACGCUAAUACAGGGUUGCUGCAGAACAGUGUUUUGUCUGGCUAUACAUAUUGUCGUUCAUAUUUACUCGAGUCUUGAGGUUGAGCCUUUGCUUGUGGGAAUACAUUUGAAAUGCUUAUGCAGAGACAAAUGUCGUGAUUUUGUGGCGAUUAAGACACAGAGAUUGUUUUUCUCUUGGCCUCCAAAGCAGAUUCGAAAAAAUAAACUUUUGACAUACUUAUGUGGGGAAACAGCUGUAAAUAAAUGACAAAAAAGAAGGAAAAAAGCGUUUCUGUAGAAGCGUCAAAAGCUUGUUAAUUGAUUAUCGUGGCAUAAGGAUUUUAAUGGAAACAUCAAACAGUAAGGACAUGCAUGCAGAAACACAUAACAAGGAGUUAACAAUGCAAUGUAAAAAUGUUAAUGACUCCUAGAGAUCACCCAAAUGAUCAAGUCGUAGUAUUGAAAUUUUCUAAAGUGCUUUUGCAUUCUUGUUAUGGUCAGUGCUUGCCAGCUCCACUGAGGUUUCCGGCCUAUUAUUUAGCCCUUUAUUGCUAUUAUUUUAUUUUUGAGAGAUCCUUUGUUGCUAUUUUUUAAUAAAAACUAGUUUCUGUUAAGAUUAUAUAAUCUGAGAUAAACCUGUUUUAACUGGUUAAUAAAACGGCAAGGUUUUCAAGUGGGUUAAGUUAGCUUUUGUAGCACUAAAUUGAGAUACGAUUUUAAUAUAUAGGGGACCCUUUCUUCCUUGUUUGGUUAAUUAUUUAAGAAGUAUUUAAUAUUCCAAACCGUAAAUUUUGCACAUUACAAGAAUUGUCAAAAAUGGGUAAACAAAUCCAUCGGGUAAUUGCUCAUCAAUUAUACUGCUAAUGACUUUCAUAAGCUGUCACCAUUUCUCCGUUGUCCUUAUCUUAAAAAUGAAAUGUGAUCCUCUUUUAACCAAACAUGGCGUUACAUUUUGUGAGAGGUUUAAUCAAGUGUAUUAUCACAUCACUCUAACCUAUCACAGCAAGCACAGUGUCCUCUUUACAGUGGCAGCUGCAGUCAAUCCACUGCGCCAUCCCUUCUCCAAUGACAUAAGUGAACAACAUGUCAUGUGGGUCCACGAGCCGUUACCAAAGCACUAACCUACACGCUACUACCUCCUCCUAACAUAUUAAAUAAAUUGUCGCUGUUAGAUCAAUAUUAUUGACCACGCAAAAGUGUAUCAAACGGCCAGGAAACACGCUUACAAUAGUCACGGAUCACCGUGAAACUGGACUUUUUAAAUUUGUUAAAAUGCAGUUAAAUUCAGGUAUGGGCUCCAUUAUCAUUAUUAACGUAAGAAAAAUAGCCACUUCACUAGCCAUAAUAAGUCCAAAUCCUUAGUUCACACCGGCCUGCACAUACUGUCUGUAGUGAAGUACGAUGUCAAUUAAUUGUCCACAUUCAUGCUACCUAGUCCAAGUAGUGGUCUUUUGACAUUACAUAGAUGUAUGCAUGCAUGUAUGUUGAUGAACAGAAGAGGCAUAGAUAGCUAGACUCGCAUCUGGGUUGUGUGAGAAUGGAAGAGCUGAAGAGUUUGGCUUCUGUAUUGCUCUGUGUGCUGUGUUUGUGCUCGGCAGUUGUUAAUGGUAGUGAUUAUGUGAAGUACAAUACUGGAGCCGGAGUUGUGGCGGGCAAAUUGAAUGUUCAUUUGGUUGCACAUUCACAUGAUGACGUUGGAUGGCUGAAGACAGUUGAUCAAUACUAUGUUGGAUCAAAUAAUAGCAUUCAGGUAUUAACUGUAUAUGUUGUUGUUGAUCAGUUUGAUUUUUGUUAUCUCGUGAAUUUCCUUUGUUUUAUCUCUGCUGUUAUCGUUUUUGGUGUAGAGUGCUUGUGUGGAGAAUGUGUUGGACUCAGUUGUGGAAGCUCUGCGUCGGGAUCCAAAUAGAAAAUUUGUGUUUGCUGAAAUGGUAAUUAAUUAAAUUCCCUUGAUUCCUUGUUCUGCGGCGGUGAACGUGGGAUUAUUGGUAUACAAACGAUUGUUGUAUUGCAUAUAUUCUUUUUUCUUAAUUGCCACGUGUGGAUGGGUUAAUUGUCUGCAACUUUAUUGAAAAGUUGAACCUAAAGUAGGUUUCAAAUGUUUACAAGUGAAUCUUCUUUGAACCAUGAUGAGUUUUUACAUAUAUCAGUUAAUUAACACUUUGCCGGUAAUCUUUACCUUUCAUAAUUUAUACGUUUUGUUUCAUUAAAAGGGAUGGAUAAAUGGUAAGACUAGUUGGUUGUUACAUUUCCAAAUAGAUUAGCCAAUUGCAAUGCAAUUUUCAAUGUGUGAGUGUGCAUGUAUUUUGCCUCCAUUUCCUAUUCCUUACUGCUCUUCAAUAAUUGUAUCUUUCUUUUUCUCAUAUGAUAAAGUUUGAUACAAACGACAGGCAUUUUUCCAUCGAUGGUGGGUUGGGCAAAGUCCAGAAAUACAAGAACAAGUGAGAAAACUUGUUGACGCCAGCCAAUUGGAAUUCGUGUAUGCAGUUAUCAACAGCCACAAUUUUUUAAUUUCUUUUUGGAAUGUAUGACAAAUCCCUUUGUGUCUAUCUGCAGAAAUGGAGGUUGGUGUAUGCAUGAUGAAGCCACAACCCAUUACGUAGACAUGAUAGACCAAACAACUCUUGGUCAUCGUUAUAUUAAGCAGCACUUUAACAAAACUCCUAAAGCUGGAUGGCAAAUUGAUCCAUUUGGACACUCAGCUGUGCAAGCUUAUCUACUUGGUGUUGAGGUAAAUAAUUUUAUUUGUAAGAUUUGCACACCCUGUUGGUCAGUACCUUUUUUUUUAAAAAAAAAAAUGAUAUAAUCAUAAGCAUGCUUCAGUAAGGCAAUAAAGUGAACUGAUUUUGGUACCCUUUUGCAACCAAAUAUUUUCCACUCUUUGUAACAAGUGACGUGUUCUGUUUAACCAAAUGUCAUGACAUAAUUGUAUGCAUAAGGUUUUCAUUUGAGAGUCUCAGUUUCCAUUUAUCAUUUAUGAAUUAUGCCGAAGGGGAUAUGUUUUAAUUGAUAAAAAGCUUUUACUGGCAGCUUGGUUUCGAUUCUGUACAUUUUGCCAGAAUUGAUUAUCAGGACAGAGCAAAGCGCAAGGAAGACAAAUCACUUGAAGUUAUAUGGCGUGGGUCCAAGACUUUUGGUUCUUCAUCUCAGGUUGGAAACUGUGACCUCCAUUACCAGUUUCCAUCUUGUUUUCUUUUUGAGUUUUCUCAUGAUCACUUUAAGCUGUCUGUGUUCUUUUGCAGAUUUUUACCAAUGCCUUUCCCGUGCAUUAUAGUCCUCCAAGUGGUUUCCAUUUUGAAUUAACUGAUGAUUUUGACCCCGUUCAGGUUCUUAUUUUCUGCUAGGUUUACUCUUCUAAAAGGUUGGUUGAGUUUAUUUAUAUUUUUUCUUUUCAUCGUAGCUCUUCUGUUUCAUUAUGACUGCAGGACAAUCCACUUCUAGAUGGCUACAAUGUUGAACAGUGGGUUAAUGACUUUAUUGACGCUGCUUUAACCCAAGUAAAAUUUCUUCAUCUGUUGCUCUUAUUGUUUGAACACAGAUAUUUAAGCAUGCUAUGACAGGAAGUAGUCAUGUCAUAAUCUGUAGGCAAAUGUCACCAGGGAUAACCAUAUUAUGUGGACAAUGGGCGAUGAUUUCCAGUACCAAUAUGCAGAGUCUUGGUUCAAGCAGAUGGACAAACUGAUUCACUAUGUUAACAAGGUAGAGUUCAUGAGAAGUGUGAUUUUAUCAAUUUUCUGUUAUACGUGAGAUUAUGCAUAUUUUCAUAGAUUAUCCUUGACAAUGUUGUCGUCAAACACCAGCCCUGAUGAUAACUCCCCUGAGACUCUUCUCUAUCAAUCUGUCUGUAGUUUGAGUUUUAAUUUCCACCAUCCAUUUUCAGUCGAACUAUAUAUAUUGCUUAGUAUAGAUUAUGUAAUUCUCAGGGUGGUCGAGUGAAUGCAUUAUAUUCUACACCAUCUCUCUACACUGAAGCAAAAAAUGCAGCAAAUGGACCAUGGCCUCUGAAAACUGAUGACUACUUCCCGUGAGCAUAACUAGUGCCAUCAUUUAUUCCCUUUCCUUUUGUUGAUAAAAGCAUUUUUAUCCCUCAAAACAAUCUAUUUUAAGCAUAUGAUUCUACUAUGUAUAAUUGCUGGCAGCUAUGCAGAUCGACGAAAUGCUUAUUGGACAGGCUUCUUUACUAGUCGGCCCGCAUUGAAGGGAUAUGUUCGGGUGCUGAGUGGAUUUUACUUGGUACGUUUUUUGGCACGAGAUUGGGGGAACUCUUCUCCUCCU